ACAUUCUUCUAUCUUCUUUUCCAUGUAGGUCCGCCUAUUCUACUCUAAUAAGUCCUCUAUUAUGUUCUUUCUUUUUAUCUUUUAUGUUACUAUUUUCUCUUCCAAAUACGUUUUUAUUGCACUUUUCUUAUCAAUCUCGCAUCUCUUAUGUUCUUUUUUUCAUCUUCUCUAAUCUCUCAUCUCAUAUGUUUUUUUUUAUGUUUUAUUAUAAUGUCUUUGAUAUUAUUUUAUGCUACUAUUUAUAUUUGUCUUUUAU
This 256-nucleotide long non-coding RNA is filed under the name Lathyrus oleraceus (garden pea). RNAcentral describes it as "Pisum sativum (pea) long non-coding RNA (PSAT_LNC007791)". Lineage: Eukaryota; Viridiplantae; Streptophyta; Magnoliopsida; Fabales; Fabaceae. The record is from RNAcentral.